AUUGAACGCUGGCGGCAUGCCUUACACAUGCAAGUCGAACGGUAACGGGCCUUCGGGUGCCGACGAGUGGCGAACGGGUGAGUAAUACAUCGGAACGUGCCCGAUCGUGGGGGAUAACGAGGCGAAAGCUUUGCUAAUACCGCAUACGAUCUACGGAUGAAAGCAGGGGACCGCAAGGCCUUGCGCGGACGGAGCGGCCGAUGGCAGAUUAGGUUGUUGGUGGGAUAAAAGCUUACCAAGCCGACGAUCUGUAGCUGGUCUGAGAGGAUGAUCAGCCACCCUGGGACUGAGACACGGCCCAGAAUCCUACGGGAGGCAGCAGUGGGGAAUUUUGGACAAUGGGCGCAAGCCUGAUCCAGCCAUGCCGCGUGCAGGAUGAAGGCCUUCGGGUUGUAAACUGCUUUUGUACGGAACGAGAAGCCUUCUUCUAAUACAGGAGGGUCAUGACGGUACCGUAAGAAUAAGCACCGGCUAACUACGUGCCAGCAGCCGCCGUAA
RNAcentral lists this ribosomal RNA (498 nucleotides) under uncultured bacterium. Its description in RNAcentral is "partial 16S ribosomal RNA". It matches the Rfam family "Bacterial small subunit ribosomal RNA", at positions 30 to 523 of the family's 1533-position model. The record is from RNAcentral.